This 1199-nucleotide ribosomal RNA is filed under the name Salmonella enterica. RNAcentral's name for it is "partial 23S ribosomal RNA". It matches the Rfam family "Bacterial large subunit ribosomal RNA", at positions 911 to 2091 of the family's 2925-position model. Lineage: Bacteria; Pseudomonadati; Pseudomonadota; Gammaproteobacteria; Enterobacterales; Enterobacteriaceae. The record is from RNAcentral.
UGUUUCGGCUAGGGGGCCAUCCCGGCUUACCAACCCGAUGCAAACUGCGAAUACCGGAGAAUGUUAUCACGGGAGACACACGGCGGGUGCUAACGUCCGUCGUGAAGAGGGAAACAACCCAGACCGCCAGCUAAGGUCCCAAAGUCAUGGUUAAGUGGGAAACGAUGUGGGAAGGCCCAGACAGCCAGGAUGUUGGCUUAGAAGCAGCCAUCAUUUAAAGAAAGCGUAAUAGCUCACUGGUCGAGUCGGCCUGCGCGGAAGAUGUAACGGGGCUAAACCAUGCACCGAAGCUGCGGCAGCGACACUGUGUGUUGUUGGGUAGGGGAGCGUUCUGUAAGCCUGUGAAGGUGUGCUGUGAGGCAUGCUGGAGGUAUCAGAAGUGCGAAUGCUGACAUAAGUAACGAUAAAGCGGGUGAAAAGCCCGCUCGCCGGAAGACCAAGGGUUCCUGUCCAACGUUAAUCGGGGCAGGGUGAGUCGACCCCUAAGGCGAGGCCGAAAGGCGUAGUCGAUGGGAAACGGGUUAAUAUUCCCGUACUUGGUGUUACUGCGAAGGGGGGACGGAGAAGGCUAUGUUGGCCGGGCGACGGUUGUCCCGGUUUAAGCGUGUAGGUGUGUGUUCCAGGUAAAUCCGGUUCACUUUAACACUGAGGCGUGAUGACGAGGCACUACGGUGCUGAAGCAACAAAUGCCCUGCUUCCAGGAAAAGCCUCUAAGCAUCAGGUAACAUCAAAUCGUACCCCAAACCGACACAGGUGGUCAGGUAGAGAAUACCAAGGCGCUUGAGAGAACUCGGGUGAAGGAACUAGGCAAAAUGGUGCCGUAACUUCGGGAGAAGGCACGCUGACACGUAGGUGAAGUGAUUUACUCACGGAGCUGAAGUCAGUCGAAGAUACCAGCUGGCUGCAACUGUUUAUUAAAAACACAGCACUGUGCAAACACGAAAGUGGACGUAUACGGUGUGACGCCUGCCCGGUGCCGGAAGGUUAAUUGAUGGGGUCAGCGCAAGCGAAGCUCCUGAUCGAAGCCCCGGUAAACGGCGGCCGUAACUAUAACGGUCCUAAGGUAGCGAAAUUCCUUGUCGGGUAAGUUCCGACCUGCACGAAUGGCGUAAUGAUGGCCAGGCUGUCUCCACCCGAGACUCAGUGAAAUUGAACUCGCUGUGAAGAUGCAGUGUACCCGCGGCAAGACGGAAAGACCC